AGCGGAGGAAAAGAAACCAACAGGGAUUGCCCUAGUAACGGCGAGUGAAGCGGCAACAGCUCAAAUUUGAAAUCUGGCUCUUUUAGGGUCCGAGUUGUAAUUUGCAGAGGGCGCUUUGGCGUUGGCAGCGGUCCAAGUUCUUUGGAACAGGACGUCACAGAGGGUGAGAAUCCCGUACGUGGUCGCUAGCCUUCGCCGUGUAAAGCCCCUUCGACGAGUCGAGUUGUUUGGGAAUGCAGCUCUAAAUGGGAGGUAAAUUUCUUCUAAAGCUAAAUACUGGCCAGAGACCGAUAGCGCACAAGUAGAGUGAUCGAAAGAUGAAAAGCACUUUGGAAAGAGAGUCAAAUAGCACGUGAAAUUGUUGAAAGGGAAGCGCUUGCAGCCAGACUUGCCUGUAGUUGCUUAUCUAGACUUUUGUCUAGUGCACUCUUCUGCGGGCAGGCCAGCAUCAGUUUAGGCGGUUGGAUAAAGGUCUCUAUCACGUACCUCCCUUCGGGGUUGGCCUUAUAGGGGAGACGACAUGCAGCCAGCCUGAACUGAGGUCCGCGCAUCUGCUAGGAUGCUGGCGUAAUGGCUGUAAGCGGCCCGUCUUGAAACACGGACC
This 604-nucleotide ribosomal RNA is filed under the name Phoma sp. RKDO800. RNAcentral's name for it is "eukaryotic LSU rRNA". It matches the Rfam family "Eukaryotic large subunit ribosomal RNA", at positions 49 to 667 of the family's 3401-position model. The record is from RNAcentral. Lineage: Eukaryota; Fungi; Ascomycota; Dothideomycetes; Pleosporales; Didymellaceae.